GAUAUUUGAGUACGUGUCCUUCAUGGAUAUGGACAUUGGUAGGGCUAGUGCUGCCAGACACAAGGAUAAACUUGAGCAUUUGAAUGCGAAGUUGGAGCAAGCACUGACGCUUCUGUCGCUCGAUCUUUCUGCCGAUUUAAAAGCGACGUUGAAGGUUAUCCACUCCGAGGUCCUUUCUUUGCUGGCCAAAAAUGCUGAACUAAAGGCCAAAAGUACUCAAUAUCUUCGAGCCGUAUCUGAGAAAGAGUCUUUGCGUAUGGAGAUCAACAAGGCUAAGGACGAGUUGAAAGAAAUCUCUUCCGAAGUCAUGAUUGAAGACUCUUUGAUGGUUAAUUUGGCUGC
This 342-nucleotide long non-coding RNA is filed under the name Olea europaea (common olive). RNAcentral's name for it is "long non-coding RNA (OEUR_LNC001618)". Lineage: Eukaryota; Viridiplantae; Streptophyta; Magnoliopsida; Lamiales; Oleaceae. The record is from RNAcentral.